This 347-nucleotide unclassified non-coding RNA is filed under the name Hevea brasiliensis (rubber tree). The record is from RNAcentral. Lineage: Eukaryota; Viridiplantae; Streptophyta; Magnoliopsida; Malpighiales; Euphorbiaceae.
UUUUAUUUUAAUUUUAUUUGAAAAAAUCUAAAAAUUUCCAUGCGGUUCAAUUUAAGAAAACUAAAAAUCCAUUCCAACCCUUGAGAAAUUGCCCGUCAUCACCGCUUAUUUAUUUCUCACACAAACACAUGCCCACUUAUCAAGCAAUUUAUAUUUUUAACUUUUAAACAUAAUCUUUGACUUGGAUAUGGCCGUUCAUUAUUAUCAGCUAAGAGUUGACCACAUCGAGCAGCCAAACUCAUUGAAGAGGCAUUAUGGAUCCAUAUGAUUAUAGCCACAAAGCCGAAGGUAAUCUUUCUUUUCUUUAUCGUAAAGACAAAUCAGAUCUAAAUAAGUUUUCUUUUUUU